CUAAGGCUGAUGGCGACCGGCGCACGGGUGAGUAACACGUAUCCAACCUGCCGAUAACUCGGGGAUAGCCUUUCGAAAGAAAGAUUAAUACCCGAUGGUAUAAUAAAACCGCAUGGUUUAAUUAUUAAAGAAUUUCGGUUAUCGAUGGGGAUGCGUUCCAUUAGGCAGUUGGUGAGGUAACGGCUCGCCAAACCUUCGAUGGAUAGGGGUUCUGAGAGGAAGGUCCCCCACAUUGGAACUGAGACACGGUCCAA
RNAcentral lists this ribosomal RNA (254 nucleotides) under uncultured bacterium. RNAcentral's name for it is "partial 16S ribosomal RNA". It matches the Rfam family "Bacterial small subunit ribosomal RNA", at positions 79 to 334 of the family's 1533-position model. The record is from RNAcentral.